UAGCUACUGGAUCUCAACCAUUCAAGGCACUGGAUGUUCCAAAGCAUAAAGCCACCCUUCUGGAGAGGCAGCAGAAAGCAAGCUGGCAGCAGGCAUGCACCACUGUUUGGCCUGAGGACAGAUGACCAUCUCAUGUGUCCUGGGGAGCUACGGAAGGAUAGUGAGGAAGAAGCUGCUGGUGCAUAGAACAGAAACACAGCUGGUGGAACCAAGAAGCACCUACAGUGGGACUCAAGCUCAGCACCCUUCAGACUGAAGCCCUCUGAGCUAUAGUUCUGGAUUGGACUGUUUCUCCUCUACCAUCACCUGCAUGACACACAGUUCUGGAUGCUUUUGACUGGUUGGCUUCCUUUUCGUUCUGCCUUUUCUUUUUCUUUCCUUGGCCCUGAGAAUUAUUGAAAAAAAGAAAAAAGGAUUUACUUUAAAAAUUAUAAUUCUGUGCUAAAAUUCAUCUUGUUUAUGAACAAAUUCUGUCCAUAGAGGUUUUCUGAAUUGCAAUCCCAGGUUAUGUAGUAAAUGGGGCUGUGUCGUUUGACUUGUGCAGUACUGAUCCAUAGAUUAAAAAUACAUUUCUUUCCAUUUUUAAAGUUUGGAUCCAGGUAAUGGCCCAAGUCACAUUUGCUUAGCUACUGAAGCAAUCUCAAUGUGAUAUUGCUUGAAGUUGAAAUAUAGUCAAACAUAGAUUGUGUCUGGGGCUCUUGCACACUAUUUGAUGUAUAUGUUACACUACAAAGAAACACAAACCUGGAAGGUUGAAAUUUAAUUCUUGUCCAAUCCUGCAGAUAGAAUGGUGAAGACAUUAUAAAUAUCAGAAGUGUCUUCAAAUACCCUGAAUGUAAGCUAGUCAACAGUUAAGCAGAUGGUUUCAAAAUGCCAUUUUCUAAGACAAAGCAGGAAUUGGAGAUCAACUGACCUCAUCAACAGUGUUGCUUAGGUCUGUCUGUGGAUCUGCCUGUUUUGGAGGAGUUAAAGAACAACCAUGCUCCUGUGAUUGGGUUUAUGGGCACUGUGGUAUUUAUGACUUACGUUUUGUAACUGUGCCUUCCUUGCAAUAAAACACCUUUGGUUGACUCAG
Long non-coding RNA from Galeopterus variegatus (Sunda flying lemur), 1075 nucleotides. RefSeq lists it as uncharacterized. The record is from RefSeq and is a predicted model, not a curated record. The transcript is spliced from 2 exons. NCBI's taxonomy places the organism in Eukaryota, Metazoa, Chordata, Mammalia, Dermoptera, Cynocephalidae.